This 492-nucleotide ribosomal RNA is filed under the name uncultured bacterium. Its description in RNAcentral is "partial 16S ribosomal RNA". It matches the Rfam family "Bacterial small subunit ribosomal RNA", at positions 29 to 507 of the family's 1533-position model. The record is from RNAcentral.
AGUGAACGCUGGCGGUAGGCCUAACACAUGCAAGUCGAACGGCAGCACAGUAAGAGCUUGCUCUUACGGGUGGCGAGUGGCGGACGGGUGAGGAAUACAUCGGAAUCUACUUUUUCGUGGGGGAUAACGUAGGGAAACUUACGCUAAUACCGCAUACGACCUACGGGUGAAAGCAGGGGAUCUUCGCACCUUGCGCGAUUGAAUGAGCCGAUGUCGGAUUAGCUAGUUGGCGGGGUAAAGGCCCACCAAGGCGACGAUCCGUAGCUGGUCUGAGAGGAUGAUCAGCCACACUGGAAGUGAGACACGGUCCAGACUCCUACGGGAGGCAGCAGUGGGGAAUAUUGGACAAUGGGCGCAAGCCUGAUCCAGCCAUACCGCGUGGGUGAAGAAGGCCUUCGGGUUGUAAAGCCCUUUUGUUGGGAAAGAAAAGCAGCAGGUUAAUACCCCGCUGUUCUGACGGUACCCAAAGAAUAAGCACCGGCUAACUUCGUG